RNAcentral lists this ribosomal RNA (275 nucleotides) under Pearsonema plica. RNAcentral describes it as "partial small subunit ribosomal RNA". It matches the Rfam family "Eukaryotic small subunit ribosomal RNA", at positions 1404 to 1675 of the family's 1831-position model. The record is from RNAcentral. Lineage: Eukaryota; Metazoa; Nematoda; Enoplea; Trichinellida; Capillariidae.
GCACUUCUUAGAGGGACAAGCGGCGGUACAAAGCCGCACGAGAAAGAGCAAUAACAGGUCUGUGAUGCCCUUAGAUGGACGGGGCUGCACGCGUGCUACACUGACGGCACCAGCGUGCGUUCAAGCCUGGCUUGAAGAGGUCAGGUAAUCGAAUGAAAUGUCCGUCGUGACUGGGACAGGGAAUUGCAAUUAUUUCCCUCGAACGAGGAAUUCCCAGUAAGCGCGAGUCAUCAGCUUGCGUUGACUACGUCCCUGCCCUUUGUACACACCGUGCG